AUUGCUUCUCAGCCUUUUGGCUAAGAUCAAGUGUAGUAUCUUGUUCUAGUUCUUAGUGGGAAUGUCAACUUUUCUCCAUUCAAUAUGAUAGUUGUAGGUUUAUCAUAAAUGGCUUUUAUAACUUUGAAAUAUAUUCCUUUGUGCCUAGCUUAU
RNAcentral lists this small nuclear RNA (153 nucleotides) under Otolemur garnettii (small-eared galago). RNAcentral's name for it is "U2 spliceosomal RNA". It matches the Rfam family "U2 spliceosomal RNA". Rfam says of the family: U2 is a small nuclear RNA (snRNA) component of the spliceosome (involved in pre-mRNA splicing). Complementary binding between U2 snRNA (in an area lying towards the 5' end but 3' to hairpin I) and the branchpoint sequence (BPS) of the intron results the bulging out of an unpaired adenosine, on the BPS, which initiates a nucleophilic attack at the intronic 5' splice site, thus starting the first of two transesterification reactions that mediate splicing. Lineage: Eukaryota; Metazoa; Chordata; Mammalia; Primates; Galagidae. The record is from Rfam by way of RNAcentral.